AACGAACGCUGGCGGCAUGCCUAACACAUGCAAGUCGAACGAGACCUUCGGGUCUAGUGGCGCACGGGUGCGUAACGCGUGGGAACCUGCCCUUAGGUUCGGAAUAACUCCCCGAAAGGGGUGCUAAUACCGGAUAAUGUCUUCGGCCCAAAGAUUUAUCGCCUUUGGAUGGGCCCGCGUUGGAUUAGCUAGUUGGUAGGGUAAAAGCCUACCAAGGCGACGAUCCAUAGCUGGUCUGAGAGGAUGAUCAGCCACACUGGGACUGAGACACGGCCCAGACUCCUACGGGAGGCAGCAGUGGGGAAUAAUGGACAAUGGGCGAAAGCCUGAUCCAGCAAUGCCGCGUGAGUGAUGAAGGCCUUAGGGUUGUAAAGCUCUUUUACCCGGGAUGAUAAUGACAGUACCGGGAGAAUAAGCUCCGGCUAACUCCGUG
This 433-nucleotide ribosomal RNA is filed under the name uncultured bacterium. Its description in RNAcentral is "partial 16S ribosomal RNA". It matches the Rfam family "Bacterial small subunit ribosomal RNA", at positions 29 to 507 of the family's 1533-position model. The record is from RNAcentral.